ACCCGCUGAACUUAAGCAUAUCAAUAAGCGGAGGAAAAGAAACCAACAGGGAUUGCCCUAGUAACGGCGAGUGAAGCGGCAACAGCUCAAAUUUGAAAUCUGGCCCUCGGGUCCGAAUUGUAAUUUGUAGAGGAUGCUUUUGGUGAGGUACCUUCCGAGUUCCCUGGAACGGGACGCCAUAGAGGGUGAGAGCCCCGUCUGGUUGGAUACCGAUCCUCUGUAAAGCUCCUUCGACGAGUCGAGUAGUUUGGGAAUGCUGCUCUAAAUGGGAGGUAUAUGUCUUCUAAAGCUAAAUAUUGGCCAGAGACCGAUAGCGCACAAGUAGAGUGAUCGAAAGAUGAAAAGCACUUUGAAAAGAGAGUUAAAAAGUACGUGAAAUUGUUGAAAGGGAAGCGCUCAUGACCAGACUUGGGCUUGGUUGAUCAUCCAGGGUUCUCCCUGGUGCACUCUUCCAGCCCAGGCCAGCAUCAGUUCGCUGUGGGGGAUAAAGGCUUUGGGAAUGUGGCUCCUCCGGGAGUGUUAUAGCCCAUUGUGUAAUACCCUGUGGUGGACUGAGGUUCGCGCAUCUGCAAGGAUGCUGGCGUAAUGGUCAUCAGCGACCCGUCUUGAAACACGGACCAAGGAGUCGUCUUCGUAUGCGAGUGUUCGGGUGUUAAACCCCUACGCGUAAUGAAAGUGAACGCAGGUGAGAGCUUCGGCGCAUCAUCGACCGAUCCUGAUGUUCUCGGAUGGAUUUGAGUAAGAGCAUACGGGGCCGGACCCGAAAGAAGGUGAACUAUGCCUGUAUAGGGUGAAGCCAGAGGAAACUCUGGUGGAGGCUCGCAGCGGUUCUGACGUGCAAAUCGAUCGUCAAA
Molecule: ribosomal RNA, 854 nt
Filed under: fungal sp. mh2245.4
Lineage: Eukaryota; Fungi
Description: eukaryotic LSU rRNA
Rfam family: Eukaryotic large subunit ribosomal RNA
Source: RNAcentral